CCUACGGGGGGCUGCAGUGGGGAAUAUUGGACAAUGGGCGAAAGCCUGAUCCAGCCAUGCCGCGUGUGUGAAGAAGGCCUUCGGGUUGUAAAGCACUUUCAGUGGGGAAGAAAGCCUUGGGGCUAAUACCCUCGAGGAAGGACAUCACCCACAGAAGAAGCACCGGCUAACUCCGUGCCAGCGGCCGCGGUAAUACGGAGGGUGCGAGCGUUAAUCGGAAUUACUGGGCGUAAAGCGCGCGUAGGCGGUCUGAUAAGCCGGUUGUGAAAGCCCCGGGCUCAACCUGGGAACGGCAUCCGGAACUGUCAGGCUAGAGUGCAGGAGAGGAAGGUAGAAUUCCCGGUGUAGCGGUGAAAUGCGUAGAGAUCGGGAGGAAUACCAGUGGCGAAGGCGGCCUUCUGGACUGACACUGACGCUGAGGUGCGAAAGCGUGGGUAGCAAACAGGAUUAGAUACCCCAGUAGUC
This 465-nucleotide ribosomal RNA is filed under the name Vreelandella stevensii. Its description in RNAcentral is "partial 16S ribosomal RNA". It matches the Rfam family "Bacterial small subunit ribosomal RNA", at positions 338 to 795 of the family's 1533-position model. The record is from RNAcentral. Lineage: Bacteria; Pseudomonadati; Pseudomonadota; Gammaproteobacteria; Oceanospirillales; Halomonadaceae.